RNAcentral lists this unclassified non-coding RNA (222 nucleotides) under Hevea brasiliensis (rubber tree). The record is from RNAcentral. Lineage: Eukaryota; Viridiplantae; Streptophyta; Magnoliopsida; Malpighiales; Euphorbiaceae.
GACACAACCACAGUAGCAAACUGGCCACAAAGGAGCAGCCAAAAUUACUUCCUCCUGUGCAUUAGGAUUAGGGUGUGUACAUGAUGAUAACAUAGUAGCUUCCAAAUAAUUUUAAGCCACAAUACAUGAUGAUAACCCGCACUAAGGCCACCAUUUAGAUUUUUUUUUUCCCUUUUAAUCGGUGAAUAUGAUGACCAACUUGAUCAGAAAGGCUCAUUUUUU